GGCGACAUGGCCAAGUGGUAAGGCAGGAGUCUGCAAAACUCUCAUCCCCAGUUCAAAUCUGGGUGUCGCCU
Molecule: transfer RNA, 71 nt
Filed under: Candidatus Melainabacteria bacterium GWA2_34_9
Lineage: Bacteria; Bacillati; Candidatus Melainabacteria
Also listed under: 2 other names
Description: tRNA-Cys
Rfam family: tRNA
About the family: Transfer RNA (tRNA) molecules are approximately 80 nucleotides in length. Their secondary structure includes four short double-helical elements and three loops (D, anti-codon, and T loops).
Source: RNAcentral